This 390-nucleotide unclassified non-coding RNA is filed under the name soil metagenome. RNAcentral's name for it is "partial contains 5.8S ribosomal RNA, internal transcribed spacer 2, and large subunit ribosomal RNA". The stretch from base 1 to 122 matches the Rfam family "5.8S ribosomal RNA", at positions 35 to 154 of the family's 154-position model. The record is from RNAcentral.
GAUGAAGAACGUAGUGAAAUGCGAUACUUGGUGUGAAUUGCAGAAUCCCGUGAACCAUCGAGUCUUUGAACGCAAGUUGCGCCCGAAGCCAUUAGGCCGAGGGCACGCCUGCCUGGGCGUCACACGUCGUUGCCCCCCAUCUACUCCUUCGGGAUUGCGGGGGGCGGAUGAUGGCCUCCCGUGCGCCUCGUCGCGCGGUUGGCAUAAAUGCCAAGUCCUCGGCGACGCACGCCACGACAAUCGGUGGUUGCGAAACCUCGGUUGCCCGUCGUGUGCGGUCGUCGCGCAUCGAGGGCUCGAAAAAAUUGUCGGGCUCCGGCUCGGCUUUCAACGCGACCCCAGGUCAGGCGGGGUUACCCGCUGAAUUUAAGCAUAUCAAUAAGCGGAGGA